CCUCCCCCCGACUAAGGGCUGAGUUUUCGCCCCUUCUGGAAUCCUUUCAACGAAGGACAAAGUUUAGAGUGGAUGAAAAUCAAGAGGAGCCCGUCCUGAGCAGAACACUGGUCGUGGGAGAACGGGCUCCAGCAGGGUAGCAUCGCGGAGCACCUACUCGCUGCUAGGCGCUGUGCCAGGCACUAGGAACACGGAAAAGAGCAACUGUCCGUGUCAAGGAGCACAUUCCAAGAAGAGAAGAGGAUCCAUAAGGGGGCAUUCCCAACUCCUUGCUGGUUUGCUGUGUGACUGUCCGGAAAUAGCUCUACCUCUCUGUUCUUCUGGCACCAUAAGAUGAAGCUGGAUU
Molecule: long non-coding RNA, 346 nt
Organism: Lemur catta (Ring-tailed lemur)
Lineage: Eukaryota; Metazoa; Chordata; Mammalia; Primates; Lemuridae
Exons: 3
Source: RefSeq, a predicted model, not a curated record